CCUACGCGAGGCAGCAGUGAGGAAUAUUGGUCAAUGGGCGCGAGCCUGAACCAGCCAAGUAGCGUGAGGGAUGAAUGCCCUACGGAUUGUAAACUUCUUUUAUAAGGGAAUAAAGUGAGGCACGUGUCCCUUUUUGUAUGUACUUUAUGAAUAAGGAUCGGCUAACUCCGUGCCAGCAGCCGCGGUAAUACGUAGGAUCCGAGCGUUAUCCGGAUUUAUUGGGUUUAAAGGGAGCGUAGAUGGGUUGUUAAGUCAGCUGUGAAAGUUUGUGGCUCAACCGUAAAAUUGCAAUUGAUACUGGCGGGCUUGAGUACAGUUGAGGUAGGCGGAAUGCGUGGUGUAGCGGUGAAAUGCUUAGAUAUCACGAAGAACUCCGAUUGCGAAGGCAGCUUACCAAGC
This 399-nucleotide ribosomal RNA is filed under the name uncultured bacterium. Its description in RNAcentral is "partial 16S ribosomal RNA". It matches the Rfam family "Bacterial small subunit ribosomal RNA", at positions 338 to 734 of the family's 1533-position model. The record is from RNAcentral.